This 612-nucleotide ribosomal RNA is filed under the name uncultured Bacillota bacterium. Its description in RNAcentral is "bacterial SSU rRNA". It matches the Rfam family "Bacterial small subunit ribosomal RNA", at positions 25 to 653 of the family's 1533-position model. Lineage: Bacteria; Bacillati; Bacillota. The record is from RNAcentral.
CAGGACGAACGCUGGCGGCGCGCCUAACACAUGCAAGUCGAACGGUGAAGAGGAGCUUGCUCCUCGGAACAGUGGCGGACGGGUGAGUAACACGUGAGCAACCUGGCUCUAAGAGGGGGACAACAGUUGGAAACGACUGCUAGUACCGCAUAACGUAUCGGGAUGGCAUCUUCCUGAUACCAAAGAUUUUAUCGCUUAGAGAUGGGCUCGCGUCUGAUUAGAUAGUUGGCGGGGUAACGGCCCACCAAGUCGACGAUCAGUAGCCGGACUGAGAGGUUGAACGGCCACAUUGGGACUGAGACACGGCCCAGACUCCUACGGGAGGCAGCAGUGGGGGAUAUUGGACAAUGGGGGCAACCCUGAUCCAGCGACGCCGCGUGAGGGAAGAAGGUUUUCGGAUUGUAAACCUCUGUUGACGGAGAAAAAAAUGAUGGUAUCCGUUUAGAAAGCCACGGCUAACUACGUGCCAGCAGCCGCGGUAAUACGUAGGUGGCAAGCGUUGUCCGGAAUUACUGGGUGUAAAGGGAGUGUAGGCGGGAUAUCAAGUCAGAAGUGAAAAUUACGGGCUCAACUCGUAACCUGCUUUUGAAACUGACAUUCUUGAGUGAAGUA